RNAcentral lists this transfer RNA (73 nucleotides) under Canis lupus familiaris (dog). It matches the Rfam family "tRNA". Rfam says of the family: Transfer RNA (tRNA) molecules are approximately 80 nucleotides in length. Their secondary structure includes four short double-helical elements and three loops (D, anti-codon, and T loops). Further hydrogen bonds mediate the characteristic L-shaped molecular structure. tRNAs have two regions of fundamental functional importance: the anti-codon, which is responsible for specific mRNA codon recognition, and the 3' end, to which the tRNAs corresponding amino acid is attached (by aminoacyl-tRNA synthetases). tRNAs cope with the degeneracy of the genetic code in two manners: having more than one tRNA (with a specific anti-codon) for a particular amino acid; and 'wobble' base-pairing, i.e. permitting non-standard base-pairing at the 3rd anti-codon position. Lineage: Eukaryota; Metazoa; Chordata; Mammalia; Carnivora; Canidae. The record is from Rfam by way of RNAcentral. RNAcentral also lists the same sequence under 2 other names.
AUCUAGCUGGCUCAGUGGGAAGAGUGUGUGACUCUUGAUCUCAGGGUCAUGAGUUCAAGCCCCAUGUUGGGUG